CUCUAAUAUAACAAGCUUACUUCUCUAGCAGCAAAUCAUGGAGAACAAGGCUUUCUUCGUGUUGUUUUUGGCGCUCGCCAUAUUUGUGAUGAUGCUGGCCAUGGGCGUGGACGUGGGAGGAAUCGCAAAGGCUGCUGCCCAGCGCUGCCAGUCGGGGUGGUAUUGGUAUGACAACGGUUGCCACCGUUGCCAGAAGGGUUGGAGCUGGCGCAACAAUCGCUGCUCGCGCAACUGAAACCUCUCGUUUCACG
This 251-nucleotide long non-coding RNA is filed under the name Selaginella moellendorffii. RNAcentral's name for it is "long non-coding RNA (SMOE_LNC000424)". Lineage: Eukaryota; Viridiplantae; Streptophyta; Lycopodiopsida; Selaginellales; Selaginellaceae. The record is from RNAcentral.